RNAcentral lists this ribosomal RNA (425 nucleotides) under uncultured bacterium. RNAcentral's name for it is "bacterial SSU rRNA". It matches the Rfam family "Bacterial small subunit ribosomal RNA", at positions 354 to 796 of the family's 1533-position model. The record is from RNAcentral.
GUGGGGGAUAUUGCACAAUGGGGGAAACCCUGAUGCAGCGACGCCGCGUGAGUGAAGAAGUAUUUCGGUAUGUAAAGCUCUAUCAGCAGGAAAGAUAAUGACGGUACCUGACUAAGAAGCACCGGCUAAAUACGUGCCAGCAGCCGCGGUAAUACGUAUGGUGCAAGCGUUAUCCGGAUUUACUGGGUGUAAAGGGAGCGCAGACGGCAUGGCAAGCCAGAUGUGAAAGGUGGGGGCUCAACCCCCAAGCUGCAUUUGGAACUGUCAAGCUAGAGUAUCGGAGAGGUAAGUGGAAUUCCUAGUGUAGCGGUGAAAUGCGUAGAUAUUAGGAGGAACACCAGUGGCGAAGGCGGCUUACUGGACGAUAACUGACGUUGAGGCUCGAAAGCGUGGGGAGCAAACAGGAUUAGAAACCCCGGUAGUCC